This 1686-nucleotide ribosomal RNA is filed under the name Dictyna major. RNAcentral describes it as "SSU rRNA". It matches the Rfam family "Eukaryotic small subunit ribosomal RNA". Lineage: Eukaryota; Metazoa; Arthropoda; Arachnida; Araneae; Dictynidae. The record is from RNAcentral.
UCAAAGAUUAAGCCAUGCAUGUCUAAGUACAUGCCUUUACAAGGCGAAACCGCGAAUGGCUCAUUAAAUCAGUUAUGGUUCCUUGGAUCGUACCUUACUACUUGGAUAACUGUGGUAAUUCUAGAGCUAAUACAUGCAGCAGAGCUCCGACCCUCGGGAACGAGCGCUUUUAUUAGACCAAAACCGAUCGGACCUCGUGUCCGUUUCUUGUGGUGACUCUGAAUAACUUUGGGCUGAUCGCACGGGCCCGUCCCGGCGACGUAUCUUUCAAGUGUCUGCCUUAUCAACUUUCGAUGGUAGGUUACGCGCCUACCAUGGUCGUAACGGGUGACGGGGAAUCAGGGUUCGAUUCCGGAGAGGGAGCCUGAGAAACGGCUACCACAUCCAAGGAAGGCAGCAGGCGCGCAAAUUACCCACUCCCAGAUCGGGGAGGUAGUGACGAAAAAUAACAAUACGGGACUCUUAUGAGACCCCGUAAUUGGAAUGAGUACACUCUAAAACCUUUAACGAGGAUCCAUUCGAGGGCAAGUCUGGUGCCAGCAGCCGCGGUAACCCCAGCUCGAAUAGCGUAUAUUAAAGUUGUUGCGGUUAAAAAGCUCGUAGUUGGAUCUCAGUUCCAGACGGGUGGUCCGCCUACCGGUGGUCACUGCCUGUUCUGAACAGCCAGCCGGUUUCUCUUGAUGAUCUUCACCGGUUGUCUUGGGUGACCGGCAAGUUUACUUUGAAAAAAUUAGAGUGCUCAAAGCAGGCGUGACGCCUGAAUAAUGGUGCAUGGAAUAAUGGAAUAGGACCUCGGUUCUAUUUUGUUGGUUUUCUGAACACGAGGUAAUGAUUAAGAGGGACAGACGGGGGCAUUCGUAUUGCGACGCUAGAGGUGAAAUUUCCAAGAAUGUUUCCAUUAAUCAAGAACGAAAGUUAGAGGUUCGAAGGCGAUCAGAUACCGCCCUAGUUCUAACCAUAAACGAUGCCAGCUAGCGAUCCGGCUGUGUUCCUCAAAUGACACGCCGGGCAGCUUCCGGGAAACCAAAGCCUUUGGGUUCCGGGGGGAGUAUGGUUGCAAAGCUGAAACUUAAAGGAAUAGACGGAAGGGCACCACCAGGAAUGGAGCCUGCGGCUUAAUUUGACUCAACACGGGAAAACUUACCCGGCCCGGACACAGGAAGGAUUGACAGAUUAAGAGCUCUUUCUUGAUUCUGUGGGUGGUGGUGCAUGGCCGCUCUUAGUUCGUGGAGCGAUUUGUCUGGUUAAUUCCGAUAACGAACGAGACUCUAGCCUAUUAAAUAGGCGUUCCGAUCUCUCAUGUCGGACGUUCUUCUUAGAGGGAUAAACGGCGUUUAGCCGCACGAGACAGAGCAAUAGCAGGUCUGUGAUGCCCUUAGAUGUCCGGGGCCGCACGCGCGCUACAUUGAAGGAAUCAGCGUGUGCUCUCCCUGUCCGACAGGACUGGGUAACCCGUUGAAACUCCUUCGUGCUGGGGAUAGGARYCUGUAACUAUUUUCCUUGAACGAGGAAUUCCCAGUAAGCACAAGUCAUCAGCUUGUGUUGACUACGUCCCUGGCCUUUGUACUCACCGCCCGUCGCUAUUACCGAUAGAGCGAUUUAGUGAGGUCUUCGGACUGGCGCUCGGAGCGGCCUUCGGGUCACGCGCCGCGGUGCCGGAAAGAUGACCGAACUUGACCGCUUAGA